CCAAAACAUUAGCCCAACUUAACAAACCUCCAUGUUCACUCAACUAAAAUAUUUCAACAAAUUAGUAAAGACGAUUAAAAAUUAACUUGGAGCUACAAAAUGUACCGCAAGGGAAUAAUGAAAUAACAAUGAAAUAAACCUCAAGCAUAAGAAAGUAGAGAUUAAACCUCGUACCUCUUGCAUCAUGGUUUAACUAGUCCACUCAGGCAAAAAGACCUUAUAGUCUGACCACCCGAAACUAAAUGAGCUACUUCAAGACAGCUUUCUGAGCACACCAAACUCUGUUGCAAAAGAGUUGGAAGAUCUUCAAGUAGAGGCUACAUACCUAACGAAUUUAGCAAUAGCUGGUUAUUCAAGAAAAGAAUCUUAGUUCUGCAUAAAGUUACUUAAAUGCCACCAAAUAAGAAUUAUAGCUUUAAUUUUAUUCAAAUAAGUUACAGCCUAUUUGAAAUAGGAUACAACCUCCACCUAAGGGUAAAACCUAAUAACUAACAAAGUAGGCCUAACAGUAGCCACCUUUAAAAAAGUGUCACAACUUAAUUACACACACUCAUAAAUCUCAUGUCCAACUACUAACCCUACAAUAGUACUGAAUAAUCCAAUACUUUAUUGGAGCUAAAAUGUUAAAACUAGUAACAAGAACAAGAAUUUCUCUUAAUUACACGUGUAAAUCAAAUAGGACAAACCAAUGCUACUUAACUGUCAUGAAAUAGAGUAGUAACCAAACAAGAAAACCCUACUACAACUACUGUUAACCUUACACAAGAGUACUUAAAGAAAGAUUAAAAGAAAAAGAAGGAACUCGGCAAACACUGAUUCCGCCUGUUUACCAAAAACAUCGCCUCCUGCUAAAAUAUAGUAGGUACAGCCUGCCCAGUGACCCGUUUAACGGCCGCGGUAUCCUAACCGUGCGAAGGUAGCGUAAUCACCUGUUUUUUAAUUAAAGACCCGUAUGAAAGGCACCACGAGAAUCAAACUGUCUCCUAUUUCUAAUCAGUGAAACUAAUCUUCCUGUGAAAAAGCAGGAAUUAUUAUACAAGACGAGAAGACCCUUUGGAGCUUCAGACAACAUGAUGACCUACUUCCCCACCAACAAAUGAACUCAUCAAUAGUCUUCGGUUGGGGCAACCACGGAGAAAAAAAUAACCUCCGAGAUGAACACCUAACAAAAGCCACAACUUUAAGUAUCAAAUGACAUCAAUUGACCCAAUAUUUUGACCAACGAACCAAGUUACCCAAGGGAUAACAGCGCAAUCCGCUUUAAGAGUCCAUAUCGACAAGCGGGCUUACGACCUCGAUGUUGGAUCAAGAUAUCCCAGUGGUGCAGCCGCUACUAAUGGUUCGUUUGUUCAACGAUUAAAAUCUCACGCGAUCUGAGUUCAGACCGGAGUAAUCCAGGUCAGUUUCUAUCUGUAUGGAGCUUUUCCCAGUACGAAAGGACAGAAAAAGCACGGCCCAUGCCUGAGUCAUGCCGCAAUACAAACACUGCAACAAACUUAAGUUAUUAACCCAAAUUCACCUUAGAACAAAGUA
This 1533-nucleotide ribosomal RNA is filed under the name Diasporus diastema (Caretta robber frog). Its description in RNAcentral is "16S ribosomal RNA". It matches the Rfam family "Bacterial large subunit ribosomal RNA", at positions 379 to 2829 of the family's 2925-position model. Lineage: Eukaryota; Metazoa; Chordata; Amphibia; Anura; Eleutherodactylidae. The record is from RNAcentral.